Long non-coding RNA from Impatiens glandulifera, 1196 nucleotides. RefSeq lists it as uncharacterized. The transcript has 7 exons. The record is from RefSeq and is a predicted model, not a curated record. NCBI's taxonomy places the organism in Eukaryota, Viridiplantae, Streptophyta, Magnoliopsida, Ericales, Balsaminaceae.
AUAGUUCCAAAUGGGAACAUAUUCCAAACUUGGCAGAUCAGCUCACCGAUGACAAAAAAAUUGCAGUUCAUCUCAGAAUCUCUUCUUCCCCACGAUUGUUCUUGCUCACUCCCUCUCCAAAGUUAGUUCAAAUGGUAGAUCAGCUCACCGAUGACCAGAUUUCUGAAUUAAAGGAAGCCUACAGUCUCUUCGAUAAAGAUAUAGAUGGACAACAUUUCGAUUGAAUGUGAAGCAACAAAAUGCCUUUCUAACGACGUUCUUUAGAACUCGGCCUUGGUAUGGAAUCAAAUGUGCACAACGUUGUCUAUUAGGGCUUGCCUUGAUCUGCGGGUCGUGGAAGUUGCUACUUUCCAAGGAAACAACGAUUGUUUGUACAUUACUUUCCCUUCAAAGGCUUUUGUACUGGCAAUUGAUGCAUACAAUGGAACAAUUCUCUAGCAAAAGAAUGUUGGUCCAUUAAGUUCUGCAGACUUUGCUCCCAACAGUUGAUUCUAUUGAUGAAGUUGAUUCCAUUGGUGAAUAUCCACCACCUUCUUCCAUUAUUAUUUUUAAAUAAUAUAAAAAGUUUUAUGUAUAUUAUUAAAAGUUAGGAUAUCCGAGUAAAAAGAACAUUAGAGAUAUAAAUAUUUAAUUUAUCAUAUUACAAGUUUGAUCUCUUUUGGUUUACUAAAUGGGCUAUUUUACUCAUUUUCUCCUUGGGAUUCUCAAAACAUUCUUUAAAUUAGACAAACAAGAUUAUGUAAUCCAGGUCAAAAACUUGCAUCAAGCUAUUCUCUGCCAGAACCAAACAUAAUGACAUCUACAUAGGAAAUUGUACAAUUGUGAGGGUCUUCAAUCAAGACAUACUAUUGGGAUUAAGGUUGAGGAUAGUUUCCUAGCAAGUUCAGUACCACCAACAUGUUCUACCAACUUUAGCUUCAGCAAUGGAUGAUUUCCAGAACCCUCGUGUACAGGCACACAUGUUGCCUUAGCACUGCUCAAUUGCAGUUAGAAUUGUACCCCGGACAUUUUGACACCAUAUUUGGACUGGUUGGUCAGCAAACUGCUUAUACUUUUGCAGAAUGGUAAACAAAUGGUACAAGAAGGUGCCUUGACAACCUUAGCAUUAGUUGCUGAUUCAUAUCAGGUGAUUUUGGUAGUUGGUUUGUGCAUUACUUAUUGUGCUACUGUGUUUUGUGUUUGUCUUGCUAGGAAUG